RNAcentral lists this long non-coding RNA (827 nucleotides) under Androctonus crassicauda. The record is from RNAcentral. Lineage: Eukaryota; Metazoa; Arthropoda; Arachnida; Scorpiones; Buthidae.
CUGGCCAACCGAGUUAUUUUCAAAUUUUAUCUGGGAAAAAUCUGAACUCGUUCUCGACUAGAUAAACUCUUCUCUUUCUUUCCACGCUUUACGAUUAAUGGCUAAGCGGAGACAGAGUCUAAUUACUUAAAAAAAAAAAAAAUUAUCUUAAUUCCAGACGCGCGUGUCUAGCGGAAAACGAAAUUUAUUUACCAAAGAGGGGGAAAAAAUACGGCGUAUAUUUAAGCUGUAAUUACACUCUAUUACCCGAACUUGUAGAUACGGAAACGAGAAUUAAACCCGGUCCAAUCGAUAAGAAGAAGUUUAAAUCGAUUAAGAAAAAUCGACGAGUAGGUCGAAACGGCGUAUAACGUACAUCCUCUUUGGUAUACGGGCUAUAACGCCAUCGUUUCGCCUUUCUAUAUUUCGUAGCCCUAAGCUAAUUACUUUAUAGUUGGCUAAAUUUUCUGCCGACGGCGCACCACCAAUUCCUUAACGGAGGAAACCGUCGGCCCCGAGAACUUUUCCAUUCCGUACCAAAAAUGUCGAUCGACACUUCUCGACGCGUGGGUCUUAACGGACGACCGUCACCACUUUCUUGGUUCCGGCCUAAGGCCGACCUCGGACGAGAAGAGAUUAGACGGGGCUUUGUCUUCUCCUUUUUCGUUCGGUUUCUAAUUAUACGUCGGCCACACGCGACUCUUACUUAUUUCGUCGUCGUAAAAACAUUUUCGGCCAUAGGUAAUCUUUAAAUACGAACGGAUUUUAGCUUCACCGUUUAUCGUUUUCCACGGUAGAUACUUGGUGUAGCGCGGAUGGUAAGAAUAAAAAUGGAAACAAAUAAUUUG